RNAcentral lists this ribosomal RNA (253 nucleotides) under uncultured bacterium. Its description in RNAcentral is "partial 16S ribosomal RNA". It matches the Rfam family "Bacterial small subunit ribosomal RNA", at positions 524 to 776 of the family's 1533-position model. The record is from RNAcentral.
UACGUAGGGUGCGAGCGUUAAUCGGAAUUACUGGGCGUAAAGGGCGCGUAGACGGUUGGGUAAGUCGGGUGUGAAAGCCCUGGGCUUAACCUGGGAACGGCAUUCGAGACUACCUAGCUAGAGUCUGGUAGAGGGAAGUGGAAUUUCCGGUGUAGCGGUGAAAUGUGUAGAUAUCGGAAGGAACACCAGUGGCGAAGGCGACUUCCUGGACCAAGACUGACGCUGAGGCGCGAAAGCGUGGGGAUCAAACAGG